Molecule: long non-coding RNA, 5132 nt
Filed under: Aquilegia coerulea
Lineage: Eukaryota; Viridiplantae; Streptophyta; Magnoliopsida; Ranunculales; Ranunculaceae
Description: long non-coding RNA (ACOE_LNC001495)
Source: RNAcentral
UACUAAUUGAUCUUCUUCUUCUUUUUUUUUUUUUUGAUAGAAGUAUAGCUUUCAUUUAUCAUCAGAGAACCAGUAAUACAAUCCUGAUCGGCAUGUCAGGUCUCACACCAUGGGAUCAACUCCCCCACUAGACUUACACACAUCACACUUACAAAGCAUACAGAAAUCAAGAUAAAACCAAAAGUAAAACCAGCACCUGCAGCAUUUCAUAAGCUUCAGCCACAGCCAGUCAGAAAUCUGCAGUCUACCCCUGUUCCUGCAUGGUUCCAAUCCAGUCAUACAACAGAUCAAUGAAACUAGAAACUGCAUGUAAAAGGGAACCCAACCCACGAAAAUGAAAUGAACCUCCAGCACACUACUAGUGUGUAAAACGAACUCCUUGAUAUCGACUAGAAAUAAUGUUAGUUGUUAAGCUAUAAGUCUACAAGUUCUGUAUAAAAGAUUAAUCGACUACUAACCCACAACAUUCAUUAUUGCUAAGUAAUAUUGGCUAGCCUAUGCUUUGUUUUGAUUUGCAUCAUCUUCACUGGAGUCUGUUUCUCUAGCAACAUCUGAUCAUGUAUAAGGUUUUUCAACUUUCAAGUUAAUUAUCCCUGAAUUGCUUUCUUUACGUUUUUUUUUUUAGAUAAAAGUAGUACAGUAUUCCUUUCAUUCAGUCCACGGUCAUUCCUCAUAAAAUGAAAUUGUUUAAUAUAAAGGCCACAGUAGUUCUUCCCAAACCUCUAUCACCUUUGGACAAUAGAAAAACAGAUAAGAGUCAUAAGACAAUGACUCAAUUCCCUUCUGGCAAAGAACACACACUGAAGAUGAGAUGAUAUUCAUAUCAACGAGUCUGUCAGCUGUAGGGAGCCUCUUCAGUAACACUUUCCAGAAGAACAGUUUUGUUCUAUGCUGCAACUUUGACUUCCGUACGAGCUUUGAAGGAAACCUGUACAAAGCCACUGUUUGAGGCAACGAAAACCAGUGAAAGUGCUUAUAAAAAUUCUUUACAGUAAACUUUCCCGUUUUCCCCACUUCCAAAUCAAUGAGUCCUCUGCCGACAACAGUUGGACUAAGUAUAUCUUCAUUUCUUCUAUUUUACUUAGGCAUCAUCUGGAGUUUGGACUAACUAUAAAUUCAGGUCAAUUGAUGAAUGGUGUGAAUCGAACACGUCUUAAAGUACUAAUCAAAAUGAUUUAUUAAUUAAUUCAAAUCUUGAAUUAAUAACCAUCUUACAAAUUUUUCUGAUCACGUUAGUAAAUAUAAUGUACUAUUUGUCGUUGGGAUAUUUCUUGAAUUAGUUAUCAUAUAUUUUCUUGAAUUUGUUACCAUCGAACAUGUCUUAUAUAGAAACCUGGUUGAAGCAGGAAGCAACUUAAUUGCUAACCAUACUACAUUAUUAAAUAAAAGUACUAUAUUUCUUUAGGGUAGCUCUGAAGGUCCUCAUCAUGUGCACUUAUUAGUCAUAUAUAGAAAAUGUGUGUUGACUUGCAACUUGUUAACCAUAGAUUUAGAUGACAGUAAAGCAAAACAUACUACAAACAUGCAUUUUCACGUCUAUACUCAUUCAUGUAUACAAUAUAUAGUAUUGUUCAUGUUAGUAAAAGUCACAACUUUGAGAUCGACCAGGAGAUAAUCCUCGACUUCGUACCGUGUACUAUAAGUUAGAGAUGAAAUUACUAGUAGCUUUGUUCCAAUAAGUUUUGUUAAUGAAUCAUUUUCAUCUUCUCAAUUGAAGCAAUCAAAGAUCGACCAAAGGUUAAUUUACAUCUAAAUGAUGGGCUCAUGGUCUAAUGAGAUCAUAACAUUCCUUAACACAUAUAUCCCCAACUUGUGUUUAGGAACGUUUGACUUUGCAAAUACAGUAUGGCAAAAAAUAAGCUUCAAUUUUAAGGAUAUGAUCCUCCUAAUAUUAAACAAAACAAUUGGAACAAAACAAUUGGGUUCAGAUGGUCUCCAGAUCUAGGGAUCGGAGUCAUCGGACCAAAAUUUUUCUUUCGCCUUACUUAAAAAGAGCUUCAAAUGCGACAAUCCCAAACACAGACAUAUUAGCCAGUCUCCAGCCUACUAAAACAACAGAAAGAAAAAGACCAACUAGGAUCCUCGACAAAGCUCCACGCCCCAUAUUUCUUUGUUUGCAAUAUGUAGAUUGAUGAAGGGAAAAGUUGGUUUGCGAUAAAUAUCAAUGUAGCUAGGCUUCUGACUUUAUGUAAAUGUGUACCAAAAAAAAAAAAAUAACGGGGGCGUGGAAAAUGCGAACGACCAUGUUCAUUUCAAUCUAAUGCAUGCUCUAUCCUAGCUAGCUUGCAUGAGAAACCUCAACUGGGGUGAGUUUUGCUUGAGAUAUAUUGAAUUCGUACAAAGAAGAGAGUAGAAUCCUUUCGAAAGUGGAAAUAACUUAGGUUAGUAGGAAUGAUUAUAAUUAAAGUUGGUCAGCUGGUUUAUUUGUUUGUGGAGCAAGAGACUACACGUAAAUUAAGCCAAACUCCACCACUUCGUCCACAUACAGUCCUAUAAAGACCCUAAUAACCAUAUCUAGAGAAACCAUCCUCAAUACUCCCCACCUUCAUUCCAGUUUUUUCUCUCUCUGCAACUAUAUAUACUAUUACUAAGAGUAAUAGGGAAUUACACAGAGAGAAAGAUGGGGAUGCAUAGAUCUUAUAUUUUUGUGGCUUUAAUUGUGUUGCUUAUAUCCAAGGAAGCUGUCUUUGUUACGGGUGAAGUUAAGAUGGCAAAAGAUGACCUUAAAGCCAAGCCUGCUACUGGCAAUGGAAAUGCAAAUGGUAACGGUAAUGGCAGUGGUAAUGGCAAUAGCAACGGCAAUGGCAACCCAAAUGGUAACAAUGGAAAUGCCAACGGUAAUGGUAAUGGCAGUGUUAAUGGAAAUAGCAAUGGCAAUGGCAACGCCAAUGGUAAUAAUGGAAAUGCCAAUGGCAAUGGUAAUGGAAGUGACAAUGGGAACAACAAUGGCAAUGAAAACACAAAGGGUAAUAAUGGGAAUGGCAAUGGUAAUGGUAGUGGAAGUGGCAACGGAAAUAGUAAUGGCAAUGGCAACGGAGGUGGUAAUAAUGGAAAUGCAGAUGGUAAUGGUAAUGGCAGUGACAAUGGGAACAACAACGGCAAUGGAAACACAAAGGGAAAUAAUGGGAAUGGCAAUGGUAACGGUAGUGGAAGUGGCAGUGGAAAUGGUAAUGGCAACAGCAAUGGAGGUGGUAACAAUGGAAAUGGAAAUGGGAACGGCGCUGGGAAUGGUAAUGGGAAUAACAACGGCAAUGGAAAUGGAGGCAGUCAAAGCGGCAAUGGCAAUGGGAAUGGGAAUGGCAAUGGAAACGGAAUUGGUGGCAGCGGCAGUGGGAAUGGAAAUGGGAAUGGGAAUGGGAACGGUAAUGGAAAUGGAAAUGGAAAUGGCAAUGGCAAUGGAAACGGGAGUGGCGGCAAUGGCAGUGGGAACGGGAAUGGGAAUGGGAAUGGCAACGGCAAUGGGAACAGUAAUACAGCUUCAACACAAUAUAUCAUGUUACCACCAAAGCAGAAAUCAGGACAAGAAACAUGUUUAUGUCAGGCUCAAGGACUGUGCAGCUACAAAAUCCUAGAGUGUCCACCUGAAUGUCCAGAAAGGAAGCCAAAAAAGAACAAAAAGGUCAAGGGAUGCUUCAUUGACUGCAGUAGCAAGUGCGAAACUACUUGCAAGUGUAAGCCUUUACUACUAGUUCUGACUUCUAAUCCUUGGUUUUCAAUAUUGCUAGUGUAACAUCAUUCACUUUUGUACUUAUAACCGUUUGUAUUGGCAGUUAGGAAGCCCAAAUGUGAAGGUUAUGGUUCGAUUUGUUAUGAUCCCCGGUUCGUCGGUGGCGAUGGUGUUAUGUUCUACUUUCAUGGAGCUAAGGGAAGAGAUUUUGCUCUUGUUUCUGACGAUGAAUUUCAGAUCAAUGCCCAUUUCAUUGGAACAAGACCUGCAGGUCGAACACGUGACUACACAUGGGUACAAGCUCUCUCAGUUAUGUUCGAUUCUCACACACUUGUCCUUGCUGCCAAGAGAGUUUCUAAAUGGGAUGACAACAUAGACGCUCUCAUUGUCCGAUGGGAUGGAAUGGAGAUGGAGAUACCAACUGACGGAGAGGCCGAGUGGCGAACUAAUGGUGAAGAAAGAGAGGUUGUUGUUGAACGCACUGACGACACAAACAGUGUUAAACUAACAGUAAGAGGAUUGUUGGAAGUGAAUGUGAAGGUAUCACCAAUUGGAGCUGAAGAAAACCGGGUGCACAAUUACCAAUUGCCAUCUGACGAUUCUUUUGCUCAUUUGGAAACUCAAUUCAAAUUCACCAACUUGUCAGACUUUGUUGAGGGAGUUUUGGGCCAAACUUAUCGACCAAACUAUGUGAGCCCAGUAAAGAUUGGUGUUCCUAUGCCAAUGAUGGGUGGAGAAGACAAGUAUCGCACACCGUCUCUCCUCUCACCAAUUUGCAGAGCUUGUAGGUUCUCUGGGAUUUCAUCUACAAUUGCUUCCAUCGAAGGGGUCACUCAAUACUUGCUAUAAUAAACUUGCUAUUCACUCAGCAAAUAGGUUUCCUGGUCUAUGUAUGAAGAAGAUACAUUAAGUCUUUGGAUCCUUAGGCUGCUAGUAUUGUUACUGACUAAGAUGAUACAAUAAGGAAUGCGAAAAAGUAUUCCCAUAUUCUGUUAAUAAACCAAUAAAUUCCUUGUUAUAAUAGCACAAACUCCUCAAAUUUGUCCUGCAGUUUGUCACAUUUACUUGGUUUAUUUAUACAAUUGAUCCAAGUAUGUAUAAUCAAAUGACUAAGAAGCCAUGGAGUAAAUUAAUCAAACACUUGGUCCACACAUCAAAUUAUCACAAUUACAAAAACAACAAGAAUUCAAAAUACGCAACAAAAUACUACAGUAUUACUUAAAACAUAUAGAAAAACACAUACCUUGAACAUGUUUGCAACAUAUACCUUCUUCCAUACCAUAGUGUUGUUGAAUGUUGAUGCAGUCAUGCAACUUUAGUUAGCUAGUUUAAAGUUUAAACUGAAGAAACCCAAAUAAAUCACCUAUAAAUUGUGUCUUAAAUGGUGGGUGAAUAUAGUGUAUAUAGGUGGAUGAGCAAAUAUUUUGACGUGGGUGAAAAUAUCUCCAAACAGAGCUUUUAAAAC